Molecule: non-coding RNA, 4573 nt
Organism: Anas platyrhynchos (mallard)
Lineage: Eukaryota; Metazoa; Chordata; Aves; Anseriformes; Anatidae
Source: RefSeq, a predicted model, not a curated record
UCUUUUUAUUUCCUCUUCUGACUGCACAAUCUUGAUUAAUGGACACGAUAGUAUUGGCAACAGAAUAAAAAGAACAAUGCCUGGCAAAAUGAUCAGGAGCAAAUUUUAAAGACUAGUAUCAGAAGGGUCUUCCCUUCCCUGAUGAAGGAAGCAUGCAGAUAGUCAUUGGUAAACUAGAUAUCCAGGCAAACGAGGCUGAAAUUUCUGGCACAGCAGAGGAUGCAAAUCAACAAGGCAUUAAAGUAAGUAAACAGAGGCCUGGAAAGUGAACAGAGAAUAUUUGUGCUUGAUGUAAUUAUAAUGAAGACAGCAGCAGGAAGGGAUAGGACAGGAAAGGGAAUUGCUUUAUCGGUGCACAUGCACUAGGUUAAAUGGUUUUGAUACUAGGAAUGCCAAGAGGAGGAAGUAUUUGUAAAUUUUUGCCACAAGGGAUGGCACUCCCCAGUGCCAAAAGCUGCUGUCUGUGGGAGGCUUUCCAUUCACUCUGGUGAGCCAGGUCAGGCCACAGGCAAAGCCUCGUUCCUGGGAGCCCCACACUGGUUGCAGAACUGCUAAUGACAUGAGGAAAGCAAGCCUCGUGCUCGGUAAUUGCCCAACAGUCCGGGAGAGAAAUGUCCGUGCUACCUAGUAGGCAGGCAGCACGGAGAGACCAGAGAGUCCAGAAAAACAAGCAUAUUGUUCUCAUACAGGGAGCUCUAGAUGACAUCUCUCUGCCUUAGUCUAGACUGGAACUGACCUUAUGAAUUCGGGCAAUUCUUCUCUGUCCUGACUCUUGCAUGAAUGGCUUUAGCGAGCCUUCUCCCCGCUGUCUCCAGCCAGAGCAGAUUUCAGAUCUUAAUUGAAAAGGAAAUGUUUGCCAAAGGUCAGUCUGAGUGGAAGAAAAGCCCCUUUCAUCGUGGCUGGGGGGGUAGAGCAGAGCAAAUAAGUGUCUCGAGGGAGGCAUGGAGAGACUUUGUGAUUUAUUUCUUAGGGGGAAGGUGGGAACCGCUGAAUUUUCCCUCUCUUAUUUAUUUUUGUGCAGUCUUCUCAAACUCAACACAUUUCUAGCAAGACCAUACAUCAUUUCAGUCCUUACACAGUAGUUCUCAAGAUCAUCCCUUUUUCUACACAUAUGCACAGGCUCGAUAAGUCACACCGCUCACGGCUUGGAGAUCUCUGCGUGGAUCAGUGCACAGGAAGCUUUAAAGUAAGUGGCUGGAGCGUCUCAAGUCACUUGUCCAUUACCACCAACCACCUUGAAUGCCAAAUGGCGUUCAGAGACCAGAUGGGCAUCGCUCCUCAGUUUUUAUCUGAGGACACAAUGUUCUUUUUGUGCUUACAGGCAAUAUAUGGCACAAACGGACUGACUCUGUAUUCACUUCUUUUAAAGCUUUUAUUGUUGUUGCUGCUGUUUGAAAUCUCUCAUCUGAGGCUUUUGUUCCACACUGUAUUGCACUCCUGGGUGCUGGGAAGCUGAGAGAUGAAUUGGGAUGCUGGUACUUAAGAGAGGGGAACAGGCAGAGGAGGAACAGCCAGCCCAUUUCUCCAGCACUUUUGAUGAUUCUGGGUGUCUGGAAAACUGAAAGAGAAUCCUGGCUACAGGACAGUACGACAGAACAAAAGAUUGAGCUCUGUCUUGCAAAACUGCCUCGACAAAGUGCUUUGAUACUGAGAGGUACAACUAAACUAAAAACCUGCCACCCGUUUUCCCAGAGCAUUCAUGGUUAAGCGUGCUCCUGCUCCUGUGUUUGCUUCUGCAAACAACCAUCAUAAUAGAUGUCCUCUCUCUCCACCGUGGUAUUUGGCAUCCAGACAUCUUACUGAGUAAUGGUUCUCCAUCAGCGGGUUGAAAAACAGGACAGCCUCACUCGCUACCUCUUUUGGAGAUUGUCCAAAAGCUGCAGAGGAUCUUUUUGUUUUCCAGUAGCCUUGACACCUGUCUUACACAGGUACCAGUGAUCUGGAGGCAGGCAGUACGUGCUGGCUUCCAGAGAUGCUGAGUGCUGUGCUCCACGUGAUUUCUGUGAAUUUAUGUCCCUUGAAGGUCAGGUCCCGUGCCUAUAAAUUAUUGUCACUUGCCAGGUACGAUGUUCAAAAUAAGCAUGCUUGCUCUUCUGUCCAGCUCAGCAAGAGGGAAGAGCAAGAAAACCCGUUGUGGCUCCGAGUAUUAACAGCUCACUGCCCCCACAAUUCAGGAUCCUUUCUGUCUUACACACCUCCAAUUGGUCUUACUGCCCUCUCAGUGCACGAGGAAAGCCUUUCCUCGGUCGGACCAGUUAUCCUCCUGUUAUGUGGAUGCCUAAAAGCAACGUGUGCGUGAUCCCUACAACGCAGUCCUGCCGAGGAGUUGCUGAACACGUUGUUCAGAGCCCUUGAUUGCAGUCUUGAGAAUCCUAGUUACUACCCUGGCUAAAUCAACAGCGCUGUUAGAAGAAUAACUAUAAUCUCCUGGCUUCUUUCUCCCAGGAAGACGGCUGGUAAAAUAGAUGGUUCUGCUGUACCGCAACUUCCUAUGGCUGUUUUUGAUUGCAUUUUCCUCCCUGGUGCUACAAUAAGAAUUAAACUCCUGUCUCCGGUGCAGUUUUCAGCUGCUCUCCCGCUGUGAAGCGAUGCUCUGAAAUGCCCGGUGAUUCACAGCUCUGAUAUUUCAUGUCUAAUGGAAUUAUUUCUGGACGGAAUUGUCGGCUUUCCUGUGAGAGGGGGACUCAUAAAGCUGGUAGGAGACAAAUUAUGUGUGUCUACCCCUGUCUCCUCCGGAGCACUUCUCAAAAUCAAAUUACUUGGCUACACUUUUAAAAAUUUCUUCUAUUGCAUGAAUGUGUAAGUAAUUUAAAGUAAAACACAGGGGCAUUGUAAUUACACAAAGCACCUGAAAUUUAGGGUUACAGACGGACUUGAAGAAAGACCCAGCUGUGUCACAGCACAGAAGAAUAAGAGAGGGAGAUCUGGAGGCUCUCUCCUUGUAGUCUGUGCUAUCACAAACUCCGUGUUACAGGUUUAUAUGCCUAUGAGGUGGUGAUUGACUGACACAUGAGGUGUGUUAUGUAUUGCUGGAUCAGGAUUAAGACAUUUCAUUGUCUGAAGUCAGUCUGAGCUUAAAGUGCCCUCAGUCCCUCCGUGCUCCCUGCUCCUGCUCCCAUCAGAGGUGGCCGUGCCCGCCAGGCUGCGUGAGGGGCAGAAACACCCAGGGGAGUGGGCUGCUUUUCCUGGUGCUCGGAAAUCCCCCAAAACUACUCCAGGGUUUAAGUCAGAAAUCUGAGCUGCGGAGUGGGGCUUGAGAGCCUGCUGAUGACUCACACAAGGAUUUCGCGGCGCUGGGAGGCAUUUCUUUUCAAUUAGUUACGUUCCCACAGCAAGCAGAUAUCCCCCGAGUGAUACCAAUUCCGACAUGCUCUUGUCCGUCAGGAGAAUGCAUAAGGCCCCACCUGCGGGUCCGGGGGGUGCUGCACACCACAAGGUUCAUAAAAUGGGCACAAACCUGCCCCACUGAGGCUGCAGCAGGUGGGGGCCCAGCCCCACAAAGCUGGGCAGGGGUCCCGGGGGCACGGAGGGGAUGAGCAUCCACCACAAGCUGGGCGUUUCGGAUGAAGAUACUGGAGAAGACCGAAGUCAGUUGGGUGAGACACCACUGAACUUGCUGGCUCUGACCUGGAGAGGGACCUGUGGAGUCCCACAGCCUGCCUUUCUUACCUUGGGCGUUGCAAUAUGCAGAUGCAUUCCCAGCUUCGCAGCGCUCGUCAUGAUGGAGUGGAGGACAUUGUUUCCAUCCCCGAUCCAGGUGAUGGUGAGCCCGUUCAGACCACCGUAGUGCUCCUGCCAGAUGAACCACACAGCCCUGGGGUUAUGUUCCAGGAAAAUGAAGCAAGAUGAUGACACAGGGAGCAAGAUGAUGCCAAAGAAUGCAGUGAUUUUAUGAGGGUAUGGAUUACCCUAACCUGGAAGAGCACUGCAGUGUUAACUGUAGCUUUGCCUGAUUUCACUCACAGCCCGUAUAUGUGCAGCUACUCUGGCCCUUAGACACCAACAGAUAAGGUCUAAGGAGGAACAAGAGGACCAGCAGCACCCAUCUGCAGAUCAUGACAAUUUGAAGCCCUUUAGCAAGGCUUGUUUUAAAUAGGCAAGUUUAUAGGUACUUGAGCUGAGACCAGAAAACUUGCAGAGAUGUAACCAAGUGCUUCUAUGUGCCUGCUCUGUACUACUCCACCUCAUGGCUUGAAAGGCUAAUGGAGAGCCUUUUAUUCUUAGUUCAAAACUGGGCCUCAAUACUAUUGCCUUGUAUCAGCUAGAAGCCAGACAGUGUUUCAACACUUUGUAUGACGUGGUUCAGUGCUUGUCAGAGAGGAUAAGCAUCCAGACUGCAGAGCUGUACUGACAGGCUACCUUGCAGGAAGGCUCAGCAAAGAUGCCAAAAGGCUGAACAGGAGAAGGGCUGGAACUGCACGCCCCUCUCCUGGCAGCAGCCUUUCCUAAACAAAUGCUUGUAAAGUUGUUGCAGACCGAAUUUACUGUCGUUUCUGCUAGUGAGCACAAUUUUGCGUCAAAAAUAGUAGCAGCUGAAAUAUUUAAUGCCAUUAAAAUGCAGUUGAAAUCUAAA